RNAcentral lists this ribosomal RNA (1715 nucleotides) under Branchiostoma floridae (Florida lancelet). RNAcentral's name for it is "bacterial LSU rRNA". It matches the Rfam family "Bacterial large subunit ribosomal RNA", at positions 490 to 2290 of the family's 2925-position model. The record is from RNAcentral. Lineage: Eukaryota; Metazoa; Chordata; Leptocardii; Amphioxiformes; Branchiostomatidae.
GCGAACAAGUACCGUGAGGGAAAGAUGAAAAGAACCCCGAUGAGGGGAGUGAAAUAGAAUCUUGAAACCAUGUGCUUACAAACAGUCAAAGGGCUAUUGUAAAGCCUGAUGGCGUACCUUUUGCAUUAUGAGCCGCCGAGUUAUGGUGUGUAGCGAGAUUAAGCCGUUGAAGGUGUAGUCGUAGGGAAACCGAGUCUGAAUAGGGCGAUAGUUGCAUGCUGUAGACCCGAAACGGGAUGAGCUUACCAUGGGCAGGUUGAAGCGAGGGUAAAACUUCGUGGAGGACCGAACGCAUAUAGGUUGAAAACUGUUGCGAUGACUUGUGGUAAGGGGUGAAAGGCCAAUCAAAUUCCGUGAUAGCUGGUUCUCCUCGAAAUGCAUUUAGGUGCAGCGUCUAUUGAUUACUACCGGGGGUAUAGCACUGAAUUGGCUAGGGGGCUCACCAGCUUACCAAACCAUAUCAAACUCAGAAUACCGGUAAGUACAGAUAGGCAGUGACACUAUGGAUGCUAAGGUCCAUAGUGGAAAGGGAAAGAGCCCAGAUCGACAUCUAAGGUCCCUAAAUUGUCACUAAGUGGGAAAGGUUGUGGAACUACUUUGACAUCCAGGAGGUUGGCUUAGAAGCAGCCAUCCUUUAAAGAAAGCGUAACAGCUCACUGGUCAAGUGAUUUUGCGGCGAAGAUUCAACGGGGCUUAAACAUAACACCGAAGCUGCGGACUUGAGAUUUAUCUCAAGUGGUAGGAGAGCGUUCCGUAAGCGGAUGAAGGUCAACCGACGAGGUUGGCUGGACGUAUCGGAAGUGAGAAUGCUGACACGAGUAGCGAUUAGACGAGUGAGAACCUCGUCCGCCGAAAUCCCAAGGGUUCCUACGCAAUGCCAAUCAGCGUAGGGUUAGCCGGCACCUAAGGCGAGGCCGAAAGGCGUAGUCGAUGGAAAUCAGGUUAAUAUUCCUGAGCCAGUUGGAGGUUGACGGAUUCAGUAAAUUGUACGUCCUUAUUGGAUUGGAUGUGCAGUGAAUGAGUUCCAGGAAAUAGCACCAACAUGAAGGCCGUACCCCAAACCGACACAGGUGGAUGGGAUGAGAAUUCUAAGGCGAUUGGACGAACUCUUGUUAAGGAACUCUGCAAAAUGGUGCCGUAACUUCGGGAGAAGGCACGCCAUUGAAGGUGUAGUCACUUGCUGACGAAGCUUUUGAUGGCCGCAGUGAAAAGGUGGUAGCGACUGUUUAUCAAAAACAUAGGUCUAUGCAAACACGUAAGUGGACGUAUAUGGACUGACGCCUGCCCGGUGCUCGAAGGUUAAGAGGUGAGGUUAGACUUCGGUCGAAGCUUUAAAUCGAAGCCCGAGUAAACGGCGGCCGUAACUAUAACGGUCCUAAGGUAGCGAAAUUCCUUGUCGGGUAAGUUCCGACCUGCACGAAUGGUGUAACCAUGGCCACGCUGUCUCCACCCGAGACUCAGUGAAAUUGAAAUCGCAGUGAAGAUGCUGUGUACCCGCACCUAGACGGAAAGACCCCGUGAACCUUUACUAUAGCUUCACAGUGAACUUUGAAUUGUCUUGUGUAGGAUAGCUGGGAGGCUUUGAAGCGUUAACGCCAGUUAGCGUGGAGCCAAUCUUGAAAUACCAGCCUGGUCAAUUUGGGGUUCUAACUCAGGUCCAUUAUCUGGAUCGAGGACACUGUGUGGUGGGUAGUUUGACUGGGGUGGUCGCCUCC